CCCAAGGGGCACAUCCGCGAUCGCCCCGUGAGGCUUCGGCCGAAGCAUCGCGUCCUCAACUCCAGACUCCAGGAGAGGACGCCCCAUG
Molecule: non-coding RNA, 88 nt
Filed under: unclassified sequences
Description: chrB RNA
Rfam family: chrB-a RNA
Source: RNAcentral